This 409-nucleotide ribosomal RNA is filed under the name Streptococcus agalactiae FSL S3-268. RNAcentral describes it as "bacterial SSU rRNA". It matches the Rfam family "Bacterial small subunit ribosomal RNA", at positions 1 to 400 of the family's 1533-position model. The record is from RNAcentral. Lineage: Bacteria; Bacillati; Bacillota; Bacilli; Lactobacillales; Streptococcaceae.
UUUAAUGAGAGUUUGAUCCUGGCUCAGGACGAACGCUGGCGGCGUGCCUAAUACAUGCAAGUAGAACGCUGAGGUUUGGUGUUUACACUAGACUGAUGAGUUGCGAACGGGUGAGUAACGCGUAGGUAACCUGCCUCAUAGCGGGGGAUAACUAUUGGAAACGAUAGCUAAUACCGCAUAAGAGUAAUUAACACAUGUUAGUUAUUUAAAAGGAGCAAUUGCUUCACUGUGAGAUGGACCUGCGUUGUAUUAGCUAGUUGGUGAGGUAAAGGCUCACCAAGGCGACGAUACAUAGCCGACCUGAGAGGGUGAUCGGCCACACUGGGACUGAGACACGGCCCAGACUCCUACGGGAGGCAGCAGUAGGGAAUCUUCGGCAAUGGACGGAAGUCUGACCGAGCAACGCCGC